AGCCCGAUAGUCUAGUCUGGCCAAGGAUUCCGCGCUCUGGACGCGGAGACGGCAGUUCGAAUCUGCCUCGGGCUA
RNAcentral lists this transfer RNA (75 nucleotides) under Cenarchaeum symbiosum A. RNAcentral describes it as "tRNA-Gln (CTG) (tRNA-Gln-CTG-1-1)". It matches the Rfam family "tRNA". Rfam says of the family: Transfer RNA (tRNA) molecules are approximately 80 nucleotides in length. Their secondary structure includes four short double-helical elements and three loops (D, anti-codon, and T loops). Lineage: Archaea; Thermoproteati; Nitrososphaerota; Candidatus Cenarchaeales; Candidatus Cenarchaeaceae. The record is from RNAcentral.